GAUGAACGCUAGCUACAGGCUUUAACACAUGCAAAGUCGAGGGGGAAACGGGCAUUUUAGUGCUUGCACCGAAUGGACGUCGACCGGCGCACGGGUGAGUAACGCGUAUCCAACCUACCCAUUACUGUGGGAUAACCUGCCGAAAGGCAGACUAAUACCGCAUAGUCUUCGAUGACGGCAUCAGAUUUGAAAUAAAGAUUUAUCGGUAAUGGAUGGGGAUGCGUCUGAUUAGCUUGUUGGCGGGGUAACGGCCCACCAAGGCAACGAUCAGUAGGGGUUCUGAGAGGAAGGUCCCCCACAUUGGAACUGAGACACGGUCCAAACUCCUACGGGAGGCAGCAGUGAGGAAUAUUGGUCAAUGGGCGCGAGCCUGAACCAGCCAAGUAGCGUGCAGGAUGACGGCCCUAUGGGUUGUAAACUACUUUUGUAUGGGGAUAAAGUCAAUCACGUGUAAUUGUUUGCAGGUACCAUA
This 472-nucleotide ribosomal RNA is filed under the name Prevotella sp. oral taxon 313. RNAcentral describes it as "bacterial SSU rRNA". It matches the Rfam family "Bacterial small subunit ribosomal RNA", at positions 28 to 482 of the family's 1533-position model. Lineage: Bacteria; Pseudomonadati; Bacteroidota; Bacteroidia; Bacteroidales; Prevotellaceae. The record is from RNAcentral.